This 1430-nucleotide ribosomal RNA is filed under the name Acinetobacter baumannii. RNAcentral's name for it is "partial 23S ribosomal RNA". It matches the Rfam family "Bacterial large subunit ribosomal RNA", at positions 1538 to 2925 of the family's 2925-position model. Lineage: Bacteria; Pseudomonadati; Pseudomonadota; Gammaproteobacteria; Moraxellales; Moraxellaceae. The record is from RNAcentral.
AAAUCCGGGGUACUCUAUGCUGAGAUCUGAUAGCAAGCUGUACUUGUACAGCGAAGUGGUUGAUGCCAUGCUUCCAGGAAAAGUCUCUAAGCUUCAGUUACACAGGAAUCGUACCCGAAACCGACACAGGUGGUCAGGUCGAGUAGACCAAGGCGCUUGAGAGAACUCUGCUGAAGGAACUAGGCAAAAUGGUACCGUAACUUCGGGAGAAGGUACGCUGUUGUUGGUGAUGGAACUCGCUUCCUGAGCUGACGACAGCCGCAGAAACCAGGCCGCUGCAACUGUUUAUUAAAAACAUAGCACUCUGCAAACACGAAAGUGGACGUAUAGGGUGUGAUGCCUGCCCGGUGCUGGAAGGUUAAUUGAUGGGGUUAGCGUAAGCGAAGCUCUUGAUCGAAGCCCCAGUAAACGGCGGCCGUAACUAUAACGGUCCUAAGGUAGCGAAAUUCCUUGUCGGGUAAGUUCCGACCUGCACGAAUGGCAUAAUGAUGGCGGCGCUGUCUCCAGCAGAGGCUCAGUGAAAUCGAAAUCGCUGUGAAGAUGCAGUGUACCCGCGGCUAGACGGAAAGACCCCGUGAACCUUUACUGCAGCUUGACACUGAACUUUGACCUUACUUGUGUAGGAUAGGUGGGAGGCUUUGAAGCUGGAACGCUAGUUCCAGUGGAGCCGUCCUUGAAAUACCACCCUGGUAAUGUUGAGGUUCUAACUCUGUCCCGUGAUCCGGGACGAGGACCGUGUCUGGUGGGUAGUUUGACUGGGGCGGUCUCCUCCUAAAGAGUAACGGAGGAGUACGAAGGUGCGCUCAGCGUGGUCGGAAAUCACGCGUAGAGUAUAAAGGCAAAAGCGCGCUUAACUGCGAGACCCACAAGUCGAGCAGGUACGAAAGUAGGUCUUAGUGAUCCGGUGGUUCUGUAUGGAAGGGCCAUCGCUCAACGGAUAAAAGGUACUCUGGGGAUAACAGGCUGAUACCGCCCAAGAGUUCAUAUCGACGGCGGUGUUUGGCACCUCGAUGUCGGCUCAUCUCAUCCUGGGGCUGAAGCAGGUCCCAAGGGUAUGGCUGUUCGCCAUUUAAAGAGGUACGCGAGCUGGGUUUAGAACGUCGUGAGACAGUUCGGUCCCUAUCUACCGUGGGCGCUGGAAAUUUGAGAGGAUCUGCUCCUAGUACGAGAGGACCAGAGUGGACGAACCUCUGGUGUACCGGUUGUGACGCCAGUCGCAUCGCCGGGUAGCUAUGUUCGGAAGGGAUAACCGCUGAAAGCAUCUAAGCGGGAAGCCUACCUCAAGAUAAGAUUUCCCUAGGACUUUAUGUCCUCUAAAGAGCCGUUCGAGACUAGGACGUUGAUAGGUUGGAUGUGGAAGCAUAGUGAUAUGUGAAGCUGACCAAUACUAAUUGCUCGUGAGGCUUGACUAUACAACACCCAAGCAGUUG